RNAcentral lists this transfer RNA (97 nucleotides) under Dreissena polymorpha. It matches the Rfam family "tRNA". From Rfam's summary of the family: Transfer RNA (tRNA) molecules are approximately 80 nucleotides in length. Their secondary structure includes four short double-helical elements and three loops (D, anti-codon, and T loops). The record is from Rfam by way of RNAcentral. Lineage: Eukaryota; Metazoa; Mollusca; Bivalvia; Myida; Dreissenidae.
GCCGGAAUAGCUCAGUUGGGAGAGCGUUAGACUGAAAUUGUUUACGCAACAAUCAUCUUAAGGCCCCCCCCCCCCGGUUCAAUCACAGGUUCCGGCA